CCAUUGAAAAUGAUCCCAAGUACUGGGAGGUUUUAUCAUCAGCAUUGGCAGUUAGCUGGUUAGAUACAGUUAUUCUAGCUGCUCAUCUGAAGGUCAUAAAGCCUUUGUUCAUGUGAAACAGGAUCAAAGUUGUUCUCCAGCAAGCAUAGAUGGUAAGGAAGGUGGUAAUAAUGUGGCUGAUUUCAAUA
Molecule: long non-coding RNA, 188 nt
Organism: Ipomoea triloba (trilobed morning glory)
Lineage: Eukaryota; Viridiplantae; Streptophyta; Magnoliopsida; Solanales; Convolvulaceae
Exons: 3
Source: RefSeq, a predicted model, not a curated record